AAAACGACUCUCGGCAACGGAUAUCUCGGCUCUCGCAUCGAUGAAGAACGCAGCGAAAUGCGAUACUUGGUGUGAAUUGCAGGAUCCCGCGAACCAUCGAGUCUUUGAACGCAAGUUGCGCCCAAAGCCUUUUGGCCGAGGGCACGUCUGCCUGGGUGUCAC
This 162-nucleotide ribosomal RNA is filed under the name Triadica cochinchinensis. RNAcentral's name for it is "5.8S ribosomal RNA". It matches the Rfam family "5.8S ribosomal RNA". Rfam says of the family: 5.8S ribosomal RNA (5.8S rRNA) is a component of the large subunit of the eukaryotic ribosome. It is transcribed by RNA polymerase I as part of the 45S precursor that also contains 18S and 28S rRNA. Functionally, it is thought that 5.8S rRNA may be involved in ribosome translocation. Lineage: Eukaryota; Viridiplantae; Streptophyta; Magnoliopsida; Malpighiales; Euphorbiaceae. The record is from RNAcentral.